Molecule: transfer RNA, 76 nt
Filed under: Bacilli bacterium
Lineage: Bacteria; Bacillati; Bacillota; Bacilli
Also listed under: 2 other names
Description: tRNA-Asp
Rfam family: tRNA
About the family: Transfer RNA (tRNA) molecules are approximately 80 nucleotides in length. Their secondary structure includes four short double-helical elements and three loops (D, anti-codon, and T loops).
Source: RNAcentral
GGACCAGUAGUGUAGCGGUUAACAUGCCUGCCUGUCACGCAGGAGAUCGCGGGUUCGAUUCCCGUCUGGUCCGCCA